Molecule: ribosomal RNA, 433 nt
Filed under: uncultured bacterium
Lineage: Bacteria
Description: bacterial SSU rRNA
Rfam family: Bacterial small subunit ribosomal RNA
Source: RNAcentral
AACGAACGCUGGCGGCAGGCCUAACACAUGCAAGUCGAACGCUCCAGCAAUGGAGAGUGGCAGACGGGUGAGUAACGCGUGGGAACCUUCCCAGUGGUACGGAAUAGCCCAGGGAAACUUGGGGUAAUACCGUAUACGCCCCUAGGGGGAAAGAUUUAUCGCCAUUGGAUGGGCCCGCGUCGGAUUAGCUUGUUGGUGAGGUAAAAGCUCACCAAGGCGACGAUCCGUAGCUGGUCUGAGAGGAUGAUCAGCCACACUGGAACUGAGACACGGUCCAGACUCCUACGGGAGGCAGCAGUGGGGAAUCUUGCACAAUGGGCGCAAGCCUGAUGCAGCCAUGCCGCGUGAGUGAAGAAGGCCUUAGGGUUGUAAAGCUCUUUCACCAGGGAAGAUAAUGACGGUACCUGGAGAAGAAGCCCCGGCUAACUUCGUG